CCCUUAGAUGUUCUGGGCCGCACGCGUGCUACACUGACCGGUGCAACAAGUUUCUUUCCUUGGCUCGAUAGGCCCGGGCAAUCUUUGAACGCUGAUCGUGAUGGGGAUAGACUUUUGCAAUUUUUGGUCUUCAACGAGGAAUUCCUAGUAAACGCAAGUCAUCAACUUGCAUUGAUUACGUCCCUGCCCUUUGUACACACCGCCCGUCGCACCUACCGAUUGAAUGGUCCGGUGAAGCCUCCGGAUUGGCGUGCACCCUCGGGUGCUGCCGAGAAGUUGGCUAAACCUUACCAUUUAGAGGAAGGUGAAGUCGUAACA
Molecule: ribosomal RNA, 318 nt
Filed under: uncultured eukaryote
Lineage: Eukaryota
Description: partial 18S ribosomal RNA
Rfam family: Eukaryotic small subunit ribosomal RNA
Source: RNAcentral